RNAcentral lists this ribosomal RNA (515 nucleotides) under uncultured bacterium. Its description in RNAcentral is "partial 16S ribosomal RNA". It matches the Rfam family "Bacterial small subunit ribosomal RNA", at positions 28 to 523 of the family's 1533-position model. The record is from RNAcentral.
GAUGAACGCUGGCGGCGUGCCUAAUACAUGCAAGUCGAGCGAAUGGAUUAAGAGCUUGCUCUUAUGAAGUUAGCGGCGGACGGGUGAGUAACACGUGGGUAACCUGCCCAUAAGACUGGGAUAACUCCGGGAAGCCGGGGCUAAUACCGGAUAACAUUUUGAACCGCAUGGUUCGAAAUUGAAAGGCGGCUUCGGCUGUCACUUAUGGAUGGACCCGCGUCGCAUUAGCUAGUUGGUGAGGUAACGGCUCACCAAGGCAACGAUGCGUAGCCGACCUGGGAGGGUGAUCGGCCACACUGGGACUGAGCAACGGCCCAGACUCCUACGGGAGGCAGCAGUAGGGAAUCUUCCGCAAUGGACGAAAGUCUGACGGAGCAACGCCGCGUGAGUGAUGAAGGCUUUCGGGUCGUAAAACUCUGUUGUUAGGGAAGAACAAGUGCUAGUUGAAUAAGCUGGCACCUUGACGGUACCUAACCAGAAAGCCACGGCUAACUACGUGCCAGCCGCCGCCGUAA